RNAcentral lists this ribosomal RNA (348 nucleotides) under uncultured bacterium. Its description in RNAcentral is "bacterial SSU rRNA". It matches the Rfam family "Bacterial small subunit ribosomal RNA", at positions 8 to 350 of the family's 1533-position model. The record is from RNAcentral.
AGAGUUUGAUCCUGGCUCAGGAUGAACGCUAGCGGCAGGCUUAACACAUGUAAGUCGAGGGGCAGCAUAAUGGAUAGCAAUAUCUAUGGUGGCGACCGGCGCACGGGUGCGUAACGCGUAUGCAACCUACCUUUAACAGGGGGAUAACACUGAGAAAUUGGUACUAAUACCCCAUAAUAUCAUAGAAGGCAUCUUUUAUGGUUGAAAAUUCCGAUGGUUAGAGAUGGGCAUGCGUUGUAUUAGCUAGUUGGUGGGGUAACGGCUCACCAGGCGACGAUACAUAGGGGGACUGAGAGGUUAACCCCCCANACUGGUACUGAGACACGGACCAGACUCCUACGGGAGGCA